Molecule: long non-coding RNA, 602 nt
Filed under: Mytilus galloprovincialis (Mediterranean mussel)
Lineage: Eukaryota; Metazoa; Mollusca; Bivalvia; Mytilida; Mytilidae
Source: RNAcentral
AAACCAGAUGCUCAACAGGGCGUAGCUUUAUACGACCGCAGAGUUCAAACCCUGAACAGUUGGGGCAAGUAUGGACACAACAUUCAAGCUUGAUACAGCUCUGAAUUUGAAUUGUGAUUAAAUAGUUGACACAACAUAGGUUUCUGACACAGAAUGAAUGUGGUCUAAGAACUUAAACUUAAAAAUUUUAAAUUGGACAUUUACCUAUUAUGGUCCAAUAUCAAAAAUCUAAAUACAUGGUUAGAUUCAGCAUAUCAAAGAACCCCAAGAAUUCAAUUUUUGAUGAAAUCAAAUAAAGUUCAAUUUUGGACCUUUAAGACCUCAAUGUGGACCAAUUUAUUAACCGGGCCCAAAUAUCAAAAAUCUAAAUACAUGGUUAGAUUCAGCAUAUAUAAAAUAAAACUUAUAUUCAAUUUUUGUUGAAACCAAACAAAGUUUAAUUUUGGACCCCGAUUUGGACCAACUUGAAAACUGGGCCUAUAAUCAAAAAUCUAAAUACAUGUUUAGAUUUAGCAUAUCAAAGAACCCCAAGGAUUCAAUUUUUGUUAAUAUCAAACAAAGUUUAAUUUUGGACCACGAUUUAGACCAACUUGAAAACUGGC